Molecule: ribosomal RNA, 368 nt
Filed under: Leukoma jedoensis
Lineage: Eukaryota; Metazoa; Mollusca; Bivalvia; Venerida; Veneridae
Description: partial 16S ribosomal RNA
Rfam family: Bacterial large subunit ribosomal RNA
Source: RNAcentral
UGCAAUGAGAGUUGUACUAAGGUAGCGUGAUAAUUUGUCCUUUAAUUGAGGACUGGUAUGAAUGGUUUGACGUGUAAUUGCUUUUUUUACAUAAGUUUUACGAAAUUUCCUUUUAGUGUGAAAAGGCUUAAAUUUUUGAAAAAGACGAGAAGACCCUGUCGAACUUGAUUAGAAUUAUUGUUUUGAGUAGAAUCAGCAUAAUAUAUUCAGAAAUUUUAUUGGGGCAAUAUUGGCUUAAAAAACAGCUUAAAUUAAACAAAGAUCCUUUAAGGAAGAAAUUUGGCAGAAGUUACCGCAGGGAUAACAGCGUUAUUUUUCCUGAGAGAUCGAAUUGAGGGAAAAGUUUGCGACCUCGAUGUUGGAUUAUA